AGUGCCUAGGUCUCAAACUAAGACCGAGUCCUACUUGCGACCGCCGUACGGAAUGUGUACGUUCAGCCUGCCCUUCACCACAAAGGUCACCGCCUGCCCACUCAUUGCGCAUUCUUGGACGGGAACCCUCCCCUUGUUGUCGACCUUUGCCGACGAUUAUGGGGCAUCCGACUCCUCGUUUUCCUCCUUAGGCGGGCUCCUCCCCGAGCGCAGACUAAUCGAUCAACCACUCCGUUAUCGAAUGGUUCCGCUACUAGUCAUCGACCAGGCUCUCCUACUAGUCGGGGUGACCCUGACUCUGUGCCGGGUCUGAGGAUGCCCCCCGUCGUCACCCCUUAAAAGGCGUUACCCGCUUUCGACUGCCUCGUUACGGCGCACCUCCAUCUUCCGA
Molecule: ribosomal RNA, 391 nt
Filed under: uncultured chloroplast GU6B
Lineage: Eukaryota; Viridiplantae
Description: partial 16S ribosomal RNA
Source: RNAcentral